RNAcentral lists this ribosomal RNA (235 nucleotides) under uncultured bacterium. Its description in RNAcentral is "partial 16S ribosomal RNA". It matches the Rfam family "Bacterial small subunit ribosomal RNA", at positions 118 to 353 of the family's 1533-position model. The record is from RNAcentral.
UGAGCAAUCUGCCCUUCUCUUUGGAAUAAGCGUUGGAAACGACGUCUAAUGCCGAAUACGACCUCCUUUCGCAUGAUCGGAGGUGGAAAGCUCCGGCGGAGAAGGAUGAGCUCGCGGCCUAUCAGCUAGUUGGUGUGGGUAAUGGCCCACCAAGGCGACGACGGGUAGCCGGCUUGAGAGGGUGACCGGCCACACUGGGACUGAGACACGGCCCAGACUCCUACGGGAGGCAGCG